AGAUGAACAAAGAAAAAAGGAUUUCAGCAAAGAGAAGACUUUAGCACAGAUCAGAGAUGAUUGUGUUAAAAGUCUUAAGGAUCUUGGAUUUGAGUCUCCACAGGUCUUCCUGGUGUCCAACCACGACAUCCAUCUGUAUGAUUUCCCUCACCUACGAGAGACCUUAGAGAGGGAUCUCCCUGAACACAAGAGAGACGCUCUGCUGUUAUCCUCACCCUACAUAUUCCCAGAGUACAUAAAAAAAAAGAAAAAUGUUUCUCCAGCAUCAAAUAUGGGCUCUUGCUGCUCUACAAUGUAAAACAAACUCUUCUUGUCAACACUAGAUUUCAAGUGAAUAUAACUUAAUUCUUAUCAACUUGUUGUUUCUGUUCAUCUUAAAUAGGUCCCAUGCAUAUUUUAGUAAACCUUAAUAAAUCUCAAAAUAAAUACACUUUAUUGUACUUGUGUGAGGAUUCUACACAGACCAGCCAGAGAGACGCUGAAUGGAUUCCAAAAAUAUUCUUAAUUUAUUACAAAAA
Poecilia latipinna (sailfin molly) is the source of this 518-nucleotide long non-coding RNA. RefSeq lists it as uncharacterized. The transcript is spliced from 2 exons. Lineage: Eukaryota; Metazoa; Chordata; Actinopteri; Cyprinodontiformes; Poeciliidae. The record is from RefSeq and is a predicted model, not a curated record.